AGCCUGACGCAGCGACGCCGCGUGCGGGAUGGGGCCUUCGGGUUGUAACCGCCCCCCGGGGAGCAAGCGAGAGUUGAGUUGUACCCGUUGAAUAAGCACCGGCUAACUAGUGCCAGCGCCGCGGUAACC
RNAcentral lists this ribosomal RNA (129 nucleotides) under Bifidobacterium pullorum subsp. gallinarum. Its description in RNAcentral is "Bifidobacterium gallinarum partial 16S ribosomal RNA". It matches the Rfam family "Bacterial small subunit ribosomal RNA", at positions 380 to 525 of the family's 1533-position model. Lineage: Bacteria; Bacillati; Actinomycetota; Actinomycetes; Bifidobacteriales; Bifidobacteriaceae. The record is from RNAcentral.